Molecule: long non-coding RNA, 1299 nt
Organism: Saccostrea cuccullata (small rock oyster)
Lineage: Eukaryota; Metazoa; Mollusca; Bivalvia; Ostreida; Ostreidae
Exons: 4
Source: RefSeq, a predicted model, not a curated record
GAAAGUGCCAGGAGAAUGCAGGCAUGGUACAAAGGCAGAAAACAACACUAAACGUACACAAAACUCACACAAAUAGUCCUUAGGUGUCAGAAGACUUACAGAGCUUGUAGAUUAAGACAGUCAGACAGAAGGAAAUUCUUAGUCCUUAAAAUAGCAGCUCUGACUAUCCAGGCCUUCUAUAAAACAAGAUCCACAUACCAAAGGAUGAAGAAAUCCACAUUGCUCAUCCAUUCUUGUUCCAGAGGUCUUGUAGAGAGAAGGAAAUACAGACGUAUGAACAAAGCGACCACCAACAUACAGAGGACUUAUAGAAUCUACUGCCACAACAAACUUGUCAAGGAGAAAGAAAGCCAAGAAUACCAAAACUAGUUGGCCAAGCAAGAAAAGGCCAGAGAAGGAGUAUAGAGUGCAAUCAUAAUACAGAAAUGUGUAAGAGGGAGAUAUAUGUCGCUAAAGGUUGUUGAAUCUCAAGAGCUCUAUUCGAGUGAUUGAAAAAGUAACAUUGAACUUGAUGCACAUCUGCCAUGAAAAGAAAAAAAAAAACAGGAAUUAGCCACCACAACGAUGGACGUGAAUAAGAAUGAAGAGGGGGAACAGAUAAAAAAAAUGAAGUUAUUGUGAAGCCUAAAAAAUUAGGGGUAUGUGUUAGAAAACAUGAACACUGUAAAGCGCUAAAAAUGUCAGAGGACGGAUACAGCUCAACCAUCUUUCAGGCGCCUGGAUACAUUAAUCAGUAGCCAUCUCAAGCGGCGAUGUCAUUGUUGUUGACAAAACUGACACGGGUCAGUUAUCCAUCCACACAGUAGCUGUUAAUUGGUCGUCUUGUCAUUUACUUAUUAGUCACAUAUUUUACAAUGGUUACGUUUAAAAAAAAAAAAAGGCAGUAUUUAUAAAUCAGACCCGCAACUGCGUUUCAGUAUAGUUUCAGAUAUAUACCGUGUUACAUAGUCUCCUUGGAACUUUUGCAUCACUGAUUCAGGUCGCCGGGGAAGCCCUUUCUAUUUCUCACAAUCGUACCACAACAGAAGAUCUUUUUGGCGAGCAGACCUUUAACCAGUUCGACUGAAGUAAAGAAGCUGUCGAAGAAAACGUGAUGGUUUUUGCCCUGUAAUUCCUCCACAAGUUUAAAGACUACUGUCUGGCCAACAGGAACACCCUUGUAUUGGUCCCUUCCGAGAUACAGGUCAAGCUGAUGGCAAAAUCCAGACAAACUGUCACACCGGAGCCAGACUUUUAACCCCCAUUUAGUAGGUUUGGAGGAUAUACACUGUUCGGCCUAUAAAUGAAGAUAGCAAUUAA